CUACGGGCUGCUGCAGUGAGGAAUAUUGCGCAAUGGGGGGAACCCUGAUGCGGCAACGCCGCGUGGAGGAUGACGCAUUUCGGUGUGUAAACUCCUUUUAUAUGUCAAGAAAAUGACGGUAGCAUAUGAAUAAGCACCGGCUAACUCCGUGCCAGCAGCCGCGGUAAUACGGAGGGUGCAAGCGUUACUCGGAAUCACUGGGCGUAAAGGACGCGUAGGCGGGUUGGAAAGUCAGGUGUGAAAUCCUACAGCUUAACUGUAGAACUGCACUUGAAACUUCUAAUCUAGAGUAUGGGAGGGGGAGAUGGAAUUAGUGGUGUAGGGGUAAAAUCCGUAGAUAUCACUAGGAAUACCUAAAGCGAAGGCGAUCUCCUGGAACAUUACUGACGCUAAGGCGUGAAAGCGUGGGGAGCAAACAGGAUUAGAUACCCGUGUAGUC
RNAcentral lists this ribosomal RNA (439 nucleotides) under uncultured bacterium. RNAcentral describes it as "partial 16S ribosomal RNA". It matches the Rfam family "Bacterial small subunit ribosomal RNA", at positions 339 to 795 of the family's 1533-position model. The record is from RNAcentral.